AGAUGUUGAUAGUCGGAAUGAACAGAGUAAGGAUAUUCUCUGGAACAAAUCGUACUAGUGGGUUGGUGUCUGUAUCUUAAAGGCAGGAACAGAGGCUCUGUGCCUCCUCCACCUGUUAGUCCAGCCAGGCACCCCACCCUGGAUGCAGCUUUGGGCCUGAGCCUGAGAGGGAAUGUCAUCCUGUAGAAGAAGGAAAAUCCAGGUACUGCCUUGAAGGAGAGGCAGAUUUUCAUGAGGAGAAGUGGAGUAAGCAAAGAGAAGGAGAUCCAGGCAGAGGACACAGCGUGGGCAAAGGACUGGAGACGUGCACAAUUGUGACGUGCUUGGGAAGUGGCAGGAGGCAAAGUGGCUCCUGGACCUGGUGGCUCCCCAGCACACAGGCGGGAUCUCACCCUAUUCGUGCCCAGUUUCAGUGAUUUUGUGGAAAAGAAAAGAUUCUCCCAGACAUUCGCUUCGUUGUUCUGACAGCUGAAGCUCUCUUCACAGGCACAUUAACAUGACCUCAUUAGUUUCUGCAUCUACUCUUCUAACCACAUAAAACGGAGUGCAGUAGGAGCCAAUCAUGCUAAUUACAUCAGAUCGGUUUGCAUAUUCAUAAACCAUUUUCUGUUUUAUGGACAGCAAAAAUAAACACAGUAUCUCUUUAAUAAUUUUAAGUGGGUCACUUUCAGGACUGUAUCUGUUUUAAAUAAAUUAUCAUAUUGUUAAAGGCCA
Macaca mulatta (Rhesus monkey) is the source of this 714-nucleotide non-coding RNA. Lineage: Eukaryota; Metazoa; Chordata; Mammalia; Primates; Cercopithecidae. The record is from RefSeq and is a predicted model, not a curated record.